GCCUGUGGCCAUACCACCCUGAACGUGCCAGAUCUCAUCUGAUCUUGGAAGCUAAGUAGGGUUGGGCCUGGUUAGUACUUGAAUGGGAGACUGCCUGGCAAUACCAGGUGCUGUAGGCU
Molecule: ribosomal RNA, 119 nt
Organism: Callithrix jacchus (white-tufted-ear marmoset)
Lineage: Eukaryota; Metazoa; Chordata; Mammalia; Primates; Cebidae
Source: Ensembl